Molecule: transfer RNA, 83 nt
Filed under: bacterium
Lineage: Bacteria
Description: tRNA-Leu
Rfam family: tRNA
About the family: Transfer RNA (tRNA) molecules are approximately 80 nucleotides in length. Their secondary structure includes four short double-helical elements and three loops (D, anti-codon, and T loops). Further hydrogen bonds mediate the characteristic L-shaped molecular structure. tRNAs have two regions of fundamental functional importance: the anti-codon, which is responsible for specific mRNA codon recognition, and the 3' end, to which the tRNAs corresponding amino acid is attached (by aminoacyl-tRNA synthetases). tRNAs cope with the degeneracy of the genetic code in two manners: having more than one tRNA (with a specific anti-codon) for a particular amino acid; and 'wobble' base-pairing, i.e. permitting non-standard base-pairing at the 3rd anti-codon position.
Source: RNAcentral
GCCUUGGUGGUGGAAUGGUAGACACAGCAGACUUAAAAUCUGCCGAUCGCAAGAUCAUGGGAGUUCGACUCUCCCCCGAGGCA